ACACAGGUCGCUGCGGCCCACGGUCGAG
This 28-nucleotide small RNA is filed under the name Bombyx mori (domestic silkworm). RNAcentral describes it as "ovarian small RNA-10994". Lineage: Eukaryota; Metazoa; Arthropoda; Insecta; Lepidoptera; Bombycidae. The record is from RNAcentral.